This 574-nucleotide ribosomal RNA is filed under the name uncultured bacterium. RNAcentral describes it as "bacterial SSU rRNA". It matches the Rfam family "Bacterial small subunit ribosomal RNA", at positions 102 to 674 of the family's 1533-position model. The record is from RNAcentral.
ACGGGUGAGUAACGCGUGGGAAUCUACCCUUUUGUGAAGAAUACCCUCGAGAAAUCGGGGUUAAUACUGCAUAAGUCCCUUCGGGGAGAAAGCUGGCCUCUUUGCUGGCGCGAAAGGAUGAGCCUACGUACUAUUAGCUAGUUGGUAGGGUAAUGGCCUACCAAGGCGAUGAUGGUUAGCCGGCCUGAGAGGGCGUACGGCCACACUGGAACUUAGACACGGUCCAGACUCCUACGGGAGGCAGCAGUGGGGAAUAUUGCGCAAUGGGCGAAAGCCUGACGCAGCGACGCCGCGUGGAGGAUGAAGGUCUUCGGAUUGUAAACUUCUGUUAAGUGGGAAGAAAGCUUUGCUUUUAAUAGAAGCGAGGGAUGACGGUACCAUUAGAGAAAGCACCGGCUAAACUCGUGCCAGCAGCCGCGGUAAUACGAGUGGUGCAAGCGUUAUUCGGAAUCAUUGGGCGUAAAGGGUGUGUAGACGGUAUGUUAAGUCAACUGUUAAAUUCUCCGGCCUAACCGGAGGUCAGCAGUAGAAACUGGCGUGCUAGAGGGUGGAAGAGAGAAGUGGAAUUCUCGGA